AUUGAACGCUGGCGGCAUGCCUUACACAUGCAAGUCGAACGGCAGCACGGGAGCAAUCCUGGUGGCGAGUGGCGAACGGGUGAGUAAUAUAUCGGAACGUGCCCAGACGUGGGGGAUAACGCAGCGAAAGCUGUGCUAAUACCGCAUACGAUCUACGGAUGAAAGCGGGGGAGCGCAAGACCUCGCACGAUUGGAGCUGCCGAAGUCGGAUUAGCUAGUUGGUGAGGUAAAGGCCUACCAAGGCGACGAUCUGUAGCUGGUCUGAGAGGACGACCGGCCACACUGGAACUGAGACACGGUCCAGACUCCUACGGGAGGCAGCAGUGGGGAAUUUUGGACAAUGGGCGCAAGCCUGAUCCAGCAAUGCCGCGUGCAUGAUGAAGGCCUUCGGGUUGUAAACUGCUUUUGUACGGAACGAAACGGUGAGCUCUAAUACAGUUUGCUAAUGACGGUACCGUAAGAAUAAGCACCGGCUAACUACGUGCCAGCAGCCGCGGUAA
RNAcentral lists this ribosomal RNA (500 nucleotides) under uncultured bacterium. Its description in RNAcentral is "partial 16S ribosomal RNA". It matches the Rfam family "Bacterial small subunit ribosomal RNA", at positions 30 to 523 of the family's 1533-position model. The record is from RNAcentral.